AUCAUUUGCAGCGGUCCAUGAACAAUUGGCUACGACGUCAUUGAUGUCGUUCCAAAAUAGAAUUGCGUUGGACAUGCUAUUGGCUAAGGAACAUGGUGUGUGCGGAAUGUUUGGUGAUGCAUGUUGUACUUUCAUCCCCAACAACAUGGCACCAGUGGGGCGACUGACUGGCGUUGGAAGGACUAAGGACACUGAAUAAAAAGAUGAAAGAUCAUUCAGGUGUACGCACCGAUAUUUGGUCUGAUUGGAUGAAAACGUUCGGAAGCUGGAAAGGCCUCAUCAUGUCUGUGCUUGUUGCUGUGGCUAUUUUUACUGCAAUAAUGAUUUUAUGCGGUUGUUGCUGUAUUCCAUGUGUUAGAUCACUCACUGUUCGGUUGAUCGAGAAAACCGUUGGCCCGUUGUCACCGAAGGGCCAAUAUACCCUGGUGACUCAACAUGAGCCGCGGUGGGGAAGAAAGGACCGACAGUGUGCUGGUCGCUGCUUGCUAGAGAAACUGGUGAUGACCUCAUAAAUGAGGUCAUGAGAGGGAAUAAAGGGAAAUGUACUUUCGGCAGUUUGCAAACAUAUUUGAUUAAGGCUGCAUUAGACAUAUAUAAUCAUAUCAAUAUAAUUUCUAGUGUGCUCGUGUGGAUUGGUGUGGGGCG
Syngnathus acus (greater pipefish) is the source of this 645-nucleotide long non-coding RNA. RefSeq lists it as uncharacterized. The transcript has 3 exons. The record is from RefSeq and is a predicted model, not a curated record. NCBI's taxonomy places the organism in Eukaryota, Metazoa, Chordata, Actinopteri, Syngnathiformes, Syngnathidae.